UCAACCCCCCGGGGUUGAAAUUUCAACCCUGCUUCAGCUAGCAGGGUUGAAAUUUCAACCCCGGGGUUGA
Molecule: microRNA precursor, 70 nt
Filed under: Paramuricea clavata
Lineage: Eukaryota; Metazoa; Cnidaria; Anthozoa; Malacalcyonacea; Plexauridae
Source: RNAcentral